This 228-nucleotide unclassified non-coding RNA is filed under the name uncultured Russula. RNAcentral describes it as "sequence contains ITS2". The record is from RNAcentral. Lineage: Eukaryota; Fungi; Basidiomycota; Agaricomycetes; Russulales; Russulaceae.
ACAUCCUCAACCUUUCUUUGGUUUCUUGACCAAGGGAAGGCUUGGACUUUGGAGGUUUUUAUUUUUGCUGGCUUUCUCAAAAGUCAGCUCCUCCUAAAUGAAUUAGUAGGGUCUGCUUUGCAGAUCCUUGAUGUGAUAAGGUAUUUCUACAUCUUGGAUCAUGCACAAGUCAGCAAGUCAGUGUUGGAUUCUGCUUCUAACCGUCUUUGCAAAAGACAAUGUUGCGAA